UACGAAGGGGGCUAGCGUUGCUCGGAAUUAUUGGGCGUAAAGCGCGCGUAGGCGGUUACUUAAGUCGGAUGUGAAAGCCCUCGGCUUAACUGAGGAAGUGCACCCGAAACUGAGUAGCUGGAGUACGAAAGAGGGUCGCGGAAUUCCCGGUGUAGAGGUGAAAUUCGUAGAUAUCGGGAGGAACACCGGUGGCGAAGGCGGCGACCUGGGUCGAGACUGACGCUGAGGCGCGAAAGCGUGGGGAGCAAACAGG
Molecule: ribosomal RNA, 253 nt
Filed under: uncultured bacterium
Lineage: Bacteria
Description: partial 16S ribosomal RNA
Rfam family: Bacterial small subunit ribosomal RNA
Source: RNAcentral